GAUUAAGUUAUUAAGGGCGCACGGUGGAUGCCUUGGCACUAGAAGCCGAUGAAGGACGUUACUAACGACGAUAUGCUUUGGGGAGCUGUAAGUAAGCUUUGAUCCAGAGAUUUCCGAAUGGGGAAACCCAGCAUGAGUUAUGUCAUGUUAUCGAUAUGUGAAUACAUAGCAUAUCAGAAGGCACACCCGGAGAACUGAAACAUCUUAGUACCCGGAGGAAGAGAAAGAAAAUUCGAUUCCCUUAGUAGCGGCGAGCGAAACGGGAAGAGCCCAAACCAACAAGCUUGCUUGUUGGGGUUGUAGGACACUCUAUACGGAGUUACAAAGGACGACAUUAGACGAAUCAUCUGGAAAGAUGAAUCAAAGAAGGUAAUAAUCCUGUAGUCGAAAAUGUUGUCUCUCUUGAGUGGAUCCUGAGUACGACGGAGCACGUGAAAUUCCGUCGGAAUCUGGGAGGACCAUCUCCUAAGGCUAAAUACUCUCUAGUGACCGAUAGUGAACCAGUACCGUGAGGGAAAGGUGAAAAGCACCCCGGAAGGGGAGUGAAAUAGAACCUGAAACCGUGUGCUUACAAGUAGUCAGAGCCCGUUAAUGGGUGAUGGCGUGCCUUUUGUAGAAUGAACCGGCGAGUUACGAUUUGAUGCAAGGUUAAGCAGUAAAUGUGGAGCCGUAGCGAAAGCGAGUCUGAAUAGGGCGUUUAGUAUUUGGUCGUAGACCCGAAACCAGGUGAUCUACCCUUGGUCAGGUUGAAGUUCAGGUAACACUGAAUGGAGGACCGAACCGACUUACGUUGAAAAGUGAGCGGAUGAACUGAGGGUAGCGGAGAAAUUCCAAUCGAACCUGGAGAUAGCUGGUUCUCUCCGAAAUAGCUUUAGGGCUAGCCUCAAGUGAUGAUUAUUGGAGGUAGAGCACUGUUUGGACGAGGGGCCCCUCUCGGGUUACCGAAUUCAGACAAACUCCGAAUGCCAAUUAAUUUAACUUGGGAGUCAGAACAUGGGUGAUAAGGUCCGUGUUCGAAAGGGAAACAGCC
Molecule: ribosomal RNA, 1030 nt
Filed under: Staphylococcus aureus
Lineage: Bacteria; Bacillati; Bacillota; Bacilli; Caryophanales; Staphylococcaceae
Description: partial 23S ribosomal RNA
Rfam family: Bacterial large subunit ribosomal RNA
Source: RNAcentral